CAGCACCUCAAGUGGUCAGGAUGAUUAUUGGGCCUAAAGCAUCCGUAGCUUGCUUUGUCAGUUUUCGGUUAAAUCCAUACGCUCAACGUAUGGGCUGCCGGGAAUACUGCAAGGCUAGGGAGUGGGAGAGGUAGACGGUACUCGGUGGGAAGGGGUAAAAUCCUUUGAUCUAUUGAUGACCACCUGUGGCGAAGGCGGUCUACCAGAACACGUCCGACGGUGAGGGAUGAAAGCUGGGGGAGCAAACCGGAUUAGAUACCCGCGUAGUCC
RNAcentral lists this ribosomal RNA (270 nucleotides) under uncultured archaeon. RNAcentral describes it as "partial 16S ribosomal RNA". It matches the Rfam family "Archaeal small subunit ribosomal RNA", at positions 477 to 747 of the family's 1478-position model. The record is from RNAcentral.